Molecule: non-coding RNA, 90 nt
Organism: Mucidula mucida
Lineage: Eukaryota; Fungi; Basidiomycota; Agaricomycetes; Agaricales; Physalacriaceae
Source: the annotation of a GenBank genome assembly
UCUCUGGUAGUAUAUCGGUUAGUACACGCGCCUGUCAUUGGGCUCCCAUGUGUGAGCGCGCGAAAGCUGGGUUCGACUCCAGCCAGAGAG